AAAGCGCCGCGAACUGACGGAAUAGUUCGUUGAAGUACCUACCUAUAAUAUCUGCAGGCAAAUCCACAGAUCUUGGGGAAAUACGAUAGUACUCGGAGUCUUCGGACAAAGAGAUAGUGCGCCUAAGGGCUUCCAAGAAAAACCUCUAAACUUCAGGUAAUUAGUACCAGUACCGUAAACCGACACAGGUAGUUGAGGAGAGAAUCCUAAGGUGCUCGAGAGAUUCAUGGCUAAGGAAUUAGGCAAAAUAGACCCGUAACUUCGGGAGAAGGGUCGCCCUGUAGCAAUACAGGGCCGCAGUGAAGAGGUCCAGGCGACUGUUUAUCAAAAACACAGGGCUCUGCAAAAUCGUAAGAUGAAGUAUAGGGCCUGACACCUGCCCGGUGCUGGAAGGUUAAGAGGAGAUGUUAUCUUCGGAGAAGCAUUGAAUUGAAGCCCCAGUAAACGGCGGCCGUAACUAUAACGGUCCUAAGGUAGCGAAAUUCCUUGUCGGGUAAGUUCCGACCUGCACGAAUGGUGUAACGAUCUGGACACUGUCUCAGCCAUGAGCUCGGUGAAAUUGUAGUAACGGUGAAGAUGCCGUUUACCCGCAGUGGGACGAAAAGACCCUGUGCACCUUUACUAUAGCUUAGUAUUGACCUUGGAUAAAUGAUGUGUAGGAUAGGUUGGAGACUGUGAAGUGGCGUCGCCAGGCGUUGUGGAGUCAUUGUUGAAAUACAACCCUUUGUUUAUCUGAGGCCUAACCCCACAAACGUGGGGGACAUUGCUUGGUGGGUAGUUUGACUGGGGUGGUCGCCUCCAAAAGAGUAACGGAGGCUUCUAAAGGUUCCCUCAGUACGCUUGGUAACCGUGCGUAGAGUGCAAUGGCAUAAGGGAGCUUGACUGAGAGACAUACAGGUCGAUCAGGUACGAAAGUAGAGCAUAGUGAUCCGGUGGUUCCGCAUGGAAGGGCCAUCGCUCAAAGGAUAAAAGGUACGCCGGGGAUAACAGGCUGAUCUCCCCCAAGAGCUCAUAUCGACGGGGGGGUUUGGCACCUCG
Molecule: ribosomal RNA, 1038 nt
Filed under: Massilia sp. CCM 8734
Lineage: Bacteria; Pseudomonadati; Pseudomonadota; Betaproteobacteria; Burkholderiales; Oxalobacteraceae
Description: partial 23S ribosomal RNA
Rfam family: Bacterial large subunit ribosomal RNA
Source: RNAcentral